This 92-nucleotide ribosomal RNA is filed under the name Campylobacter coli. The record is from RNAcentral. RNAcentral also lists the same sequence under 4 other names. Lineage: Bacteria; Pseudomonadati; Campylobacterota; Epsilonproteobacteria; Campylobacterales; Campylobacteraceae.
GUCCGUGAUUAUACAGAUGUGGAAACGCCUUGCUCCAUCCCGAACCAAGAAGCUAAGCACAUCGUGGGUGAUGAUACUACGCCUUACUGGCA